Molecule: ribosomal RNA, 440 nt
Filed under: uncultured bacterium
Lineage: Bacteria
Description: partial 16S ribosomal RNA
Rfam family: Bacterial small subunit ribosomal RNA
Source: RNAcentral
CCUACGGGAGGCAGCAGUGGGGAAUAUUGCACAAUGGGGGGAACCCUGAAGCAGCAACGCCGCGUGGGGGAAGAAGUACUCCGGUAUGUAAAGCCCUUUUAGUAGGGAAGAAAAUGACGGUACCUGACCAAGAAGCCCCGUCUAACUACGUGCCACCUGCCGCGGUAAAACGUAGGGGGCAAACGUUAUCCGGAUUUACUGGGCGUAAAGGGAGCGUAUACGGCAGGGCAAGUCUGGAGUGAAAGCCCGUGGCCCAACCACGGGACUGCUUUGGAAACUGUGUUGCUGGAGUGCGGGAGGGGUAAGCGGAAUUCGUGGUGUAGCGGUGAAAUGCGUAGAUAUUAGGAAGAACACCGAUGGCGAAGGCGGCUUACUGGACUGUAACUGACGUUGAGGCUCGAAGGCGUGGGGAGCAAACAGGAUUAGAUACCCUUGUAGUC